UUCCCUCAUCUGCUAAGUGCUGUUUUACUGAUAGCUACUCCUUACACAUUUGCAUGUCCUCCUUUCACUGAACUGUAGAUUCAUUCAAUGGGGAACAUGUCGUGAUUGAUUGAUGCUGAGCAUUGAGAAGGAUCCCUAUGUAGAAUGACCACUCUGGACCUCAGGCAGGACUCGGAAUAUAGGUCCUGGCCUCUUACUUCUUACUGGAGAAUUGAAGCAAAGAUCCUCACACUUCUCAGCGGGCCUUUGCAGCUGGGGUGAGCAUCAGUACUUCCUACUUUCACCAGGCCCUAGGCAUCCUGCAGCCCUUUACUUCCAGGGACCAGAGUACCUUC
Molecule: long non-coding RNA, 335 nt
Filed under: Mus spicilegus (steppe mouse)
Lineage: Eukaryota; Metazoa; Chordata; Mammalia; Rodentia; Muridae
Description: lncRNA (ENSMSIG00000011944.1)
Source: RNAcentral